GAUGAACGCUGGCGGCGUGCCUAAUACAUGCAAGUCGAGCGAACGGACGAGAAGCUUGCUUCUCUGAUGGUAGCGGCGGACGGGUGAGUAACACGUGGAUAACCUACCUAUAAGACAGGGGUAACUUCGUGAAACCGGAGCUAAUACCGGGUGUUAUUGUGAUCCUCAUGUUUCAAAAGUGAGAGACGGUCUUGCUGCCACCGAUAGAUGGAUCCGCGCUGCAUUAGCUAGUUGGUAAGGUAACGGCUUACCAAGGCGACGAUGCAUAGCCGACCUGAGAGGGUGAUCGGCCCCCCUGGAACUGAGACACGGUCCAGCCUCCUACGGGAGGCAGCAGUAGGGAAUCUUCCGCAAUGGGCGAAAGCCUGACGGAGCAACGCCGCGUGAGUGAUGAAGGUCUUCGGAUCGUAAACCUCUGUUAUUAGGGAAGAACAUAUGUGUGAGUAACUGUGCGCAACUUGACGGUACCUAAUCAGAAAGCCCCGGCUAACUACGUG
This 497-nucleotide ribosomal RNA is filed under the name uncultured bacterium. Its description in RNAcentral is "partial 16S ribosomal RNA". It matches the Rfam family "Bacterial small subunit ribosomal RNA", at positions 28 to 507 of the family's 1533-position model. The record is from RNAcentral.